UGAGUGAGGGUCCCUCGGGGCCCAACCUCCCACCCGUGUAUACCGUACCUUGUUGCUUCGGCGGGCCCGCCGCGCAAGCGGCCGCCGGGGGGGCGUCAAACCCCCCUCCCUAGGCGAGCGCCCGCCGGAGACACCAACGUGAACACUGUCUGAAGUUUUGUUGUCUGAGUUCGAUUGUAUCGCAAUCAGUUAAAACUUUCAACAAUGGAUCUCUUGGUUCCGGCAUCGAUGAAGAACGCAGCGAAAUGCGAUAAUUAAUGUGAAUUGCAGAAUUCAGUGAAUCAUCGAGUCUUUGAACGCACAUUGCACCCCCUGGUAUUCCGGGGGGUAUGCCUGUCCGAGCGUCAUUGCUGCCCUCAAGCACGGCUUGUGUGUUGGGUCGUCGUCCCCCCCGGGGACGGGCCCGAAAGGCAGCGGCGGCACCGCGUCCGGUCCUCGAGCGUAUGGGGCUUUGUCACCCGCUCUUGUAGGCCCGGCCGGCGCUGGCCGACGCUGAAAAGCAACCAACUAUUUCUCCAGGUUGACCUCGGAUCAGGUAGGGAUACCCGCUGAACUUAAGCAUA
RNAcentral lists this ribosomal RNA (563 nucleotides) under Aspergillus ochraceus. RNAcentral's name for it is "eukaryotic LSU rRNA". The stretch from base 194 to 347 matches the Rfam family "5.8S ribosomal RNA". The record is from RNAcentral. Lineage: Eukaryota; Fungi; Ascomycota; Eurotiomycetes; Eurotiales; Aspergillaceae.